This 301-nucleotide ribosomal RNA is filed under the name uncultured bacterium. RNAcentral describes it as "partial 16S ribosomal RNA". It matches the Rfam family "Bacterial small subunit ribosomal RNA", at positions 509 to 809 of the family's 1533-position model. The record is from RNAcentral.
CAGCCGCCGCGGUAAUACCGAGGGUGCAAGCGUUAAUCGGAAUUACUGGGCGUAAAGCGCGCGUAGGUGGUUUGUUAAGUUGGAUGUGAAAGCCCCGGGCUCAACCUGGGAACUGCAUCCAAAACUGGCAAGCUAGAGUACGGUAGAGGGUGGUGGAAUUUCCUGUGUAGCGGUGAAAUGCGUAGAUAUAGGAAGGAACACCAGUGGAGAAGGCGACCACCUGGACUGAUACUGACACUGAGGUGCGAAAGCGUGGGGAGCAAACAGGAUUAGAUACCCCCGUAGUCCUGUCUCUUAUACA